This 305-nucleotide ribosomal RNA is filed under the name uncultured bacterium. RNAcentral's name for it is "bacterial SSU rRNA". It matches the Rfam family "Bacterial small subunit ribosomal RNA", at positions 335 to 656 of the family's 1533-position model. The record is from RNAcentral.
UCGCCUACGGGGGGCAGCAGUGGGGAAUAUUGCACAAUGGGGGAAACCCUGAUGCAGCGACGCCGCGUGCAGGAAGAAGGUUUUCGGAUUGUAAACUGCUUUAGACAGGGAAGAAACAAGACAGUACCUGUAGAAUAAGCUCCGGCUAACUACGUGCCAGCAGCCGCGGUAAUACGUAGGGAGCAAGCGUUAUCCGGAUUUAUUGGGUGUAAAGGGUGCGUAGACGGGAAGGCAAGUUAGUUGUGAAAUCCCUCGGCUUAACUGAGGAACUGCAACUAAAACUAUCUUUCUUGAGUGCUGGAGAG